Molecule: ribosomal RNA, 254 nt
Filed under: uncultured bacterium
Lineage: Bacteria
Description: partial 16S ribosomal RNA
Rfam family: Bacterial small subunit ribosomal RNA
Source: RNAcentral
UACGGGGGGGGUAAGCGUUGUUCGGAAUUACUGGGCGUAAAGGGCGCGUAGGCGGUCAGCACAAGUCAGUUGUGAAAUCUCCGGGCUUAACUCGGAAAGGUCAACUGAUACUGUGCGACUAGAGUGCAGAAGGGGCAACUGGAAUUCUCGGUGUAGCGGUGAAAUGCGUAGAUAUCGAGAGGAACACCGGUGGCGAAGGCGGGUCUCUGGGCCGAUACUGACGCUGAGGAGCGAAAGCGUGGGGAGCGAACAGG